Long non-coding RNA from Eucalyptus grandis, 747 nucleotides. RefSeq lists it as uncharacterized. The transcript is spliced from 2 exons. Lineage: Eukaryota; Viridiplantae; Streptophyta; Magnoliopsida; Myrtales; Myrtaceae. The record is from RefSeq and is a predicted model, not a curated record.
UCUCUCUCUCCUCCUUCUCUCUCCUUCCUCUCUCCCUUCCGUUGGCUUCUCCUCCAUCUUCUUUGUGCGAAAGACCAGAAAAAAUUGCAAAGGAAGAAGCCGAGGCAGCCCCUCGCCGUCCGCCUCCUUCGCCGCUCGUCGCCCGUCGCCGGAACCGCCGAAGCCGCCGAAGCUAGCUCGUCGCCGGUUCUCCUUCACCCGCUCACGCCGCUGCUCUUCCCUCGUUCGUCGUCGUCCUCGCUUGUCUUCACGUUUGGGAGGCUGUCCGACCAGCUUAGGUCACAGAUCAGCCACCGUGAGCCGCCGUGCGCCCCCGCCUUAGCCCGCCGGAGCUUCACCUUGCCUCCGCCGCCUUUGGCUGCCCGAACCGGCGCCGGAUCUGCUCCCUCUCGGCCCCGAUCAGCAACCCAGAAAAUGGGUAUGGCAGCCCAUGUUUGGCUCGUUUUGGCCGCCUUCCCAAGCCCGGAUGCUCGGCCCGCUUUGAGGAAAGUCAAUCCUCGCGUCGUGCUCGUCAUUUUGGUCCGCUCGGCUCGCUAAUCCAGUCCCUGGUGGACGGAGCGGCCGGAUAGCUUUGGUUGGCCUUGAGGAGUUGGAGAUGUGAAGUCAUAAAGAUUGGAGAUCGUGUACGACUUGUAGGUCGUAGGAUAACCUCUUUUUAAGAGCCAGUCUUUUGUAGACUAUUGGCCGUAAACCCCUGUUUGUAAUUCUAUUGAAUUAUGUUUAAGUGUUAUGUUGUGGUUUUGCUUC